CAGGUGUCUCCGGAAGGUGGUGAUUGACUCCGCUGUCCUGGCGUCGUGAGGGAGCUUGUUCCACCAUUGGGGUGCCAGAGCAGCGAACAGUUUUGACUGGGCUGAGCGGGAACUGUGCUUCCUCAGAGGUAGGGGGGCCAGCAGGCCAGAGGUGGAUGAACGCAGUGCCCUUGUUUGGGUGUAGGGCCUGAUCAGAGCCUGAAGUGCAGGGCUUGGGAUCCCGGGAUCGCAGGCAGUUGGAUCAGGAGGGCCAAGAGGUUGUAAAUGAGGGGGUCCGCAUACCGGGACUAGAUGUACCCCAACAGUCCGAUGACAACAGGAUGGUGGACAUGCACAUCAUUGACGAUGAGGACUUCACCCCCCAGAGCCAACUGUGUUGGAGGAGGCAGAGCAGGAGCAGCAGAUGUAUCUGGAGAAGCAGAGGAAGCUCAAACAGAAGCAGCUGUUCAAAGACUCGGGAAAAGAUGUGAACAUUCUGUUCAUAACUGUUCCUCUCUUUACUUACAAUGCUAGAAUAUAACUGUGGCCAAAGAUCCUAUCCAGUGCAAGGAUCUCUUCUUUGACAACUGAAAACAGCAAUAUUGUGUGGAUUACUAUAAAACAUGUGAUAUUCAAUCACUAAUAAAUGUUAAAUGGUUAAAAAAUUGUUCUCACUCUCUUGCAGAGCAGGUAGAUUUACAUUGUUCAUUGUUCGAUUAUAUCAAUUACAUAGAUUUUCAGGUCCACUGUAGACCUACAGGAAAAUACACAGACA
RNAcentral lists this long non-coding RNA (754 nucleotides) under Salmo salar (Atlantic salmon). RNAcentral describes it as "lncRNA (ENSSSAG00000099630.1)". The record is from RNAcentral. Lineage: Eukaryota; Metazoa; Chordata; Actinopteri; Salmoniformes; Salmonidae.